Nylanderia fulva is the source of this 2421-nucleotide non-coding RNA. Lineage: Eukaryota; Metazoa; Arthropoda; Insecta; Hymenoptera; Formicidae. The record is from RefSeq and is a predicted model, not a curated record.
GGAUCGUAUCCAGGGUUUCUGCUUAAUAUUAAAGCCUGGGAUGUCCUUGACGACAUAGCGACUAUUGCCCAGACUUUUUGCGAUAAGGUAAGGCCCCUUAUAAUUUGGUUUGAGCUUUGAGCUCGUACCUAUUUUGGGGGCAGUGUCCCUUAUCAAAACGUACUCCCCUGGUUUAUAUCGCGUUGGCUUGAUACUGUGAGUAUCCUUGUAUUCUUUAUUGUACGCUCUUACAAGAUCUGUUGCUCGUGAAGCAUUGUCUCUAUUAAUAUCUCUCUCUUUUUCUAGGUCCUCAUCGACGGUGACAAGGGCCUUGGUGAAAUUGGCUAGAGAGUGAUCCGAAUGGCUGCGUUGGUCAAAACCUAACAUUAGUUUUGCUGGACUUGAUUUAGUCACAGCGUGUUUCCUGCAGUGGACCGAAGUGGUCUACAUGCAACGUAUUUAACGGAACCUUGGGCAAAGGAUGCAGUUGAGUUUCCCUUUCGAACCUGUUAAGCGCGUUAUUGGCUGUAAGACAGGAUAUUCGAAUCCGCAAGCUGAAGGAACUCAAGGCGUCUCUCCAGCGGAAGUUCGUCUAUGUGCGCGACGCUUCGACUAAGCGCGUCUACAUGUGCCAUGCGACUACCUGGACGAUGUAUGAUGUCGAACGAGUAAUUUUGCAGCGCGAGAGUCCAUCGCGCUAUUCGCGGAUUUAGCUCGUAGCUGUGAUACCUGCUCUCCGCUGCGUUCGUGCCUUGACUAAAAUACGCAACCGGACCCCAGGAAUUAUCGCGUCGCUGGAGAAGGAUCGCUCCGAACCCUAAGCAACAUGCGUCUGUGUGUAACUGGGUUUCGGCCGCCGGAUCGUACAGUCUCAGCAACGGAGUGGAGGUACGACCCGCGCGCAAUAAGGCGAGACGCUCGGCCUAAUAAUACCUCGCUCUAGGAGGUCGUCUGUGAUUUGCCGGAUCUGCGUUCGCUCUACAUUCGCGAAGCGCCUGGGUGCGAACGCAUAGAUCGACGGAUCUCUCAAAUGUACGUGCACUGAGAAGUCGUCGUUUACAGAAAUCAACGGAUCGUCGACGGUCGACUUGCACGCUUCCUGUGUUGCCGCCACGAAAUCGGAUGCUACCUCAUCCGCGGUCACGCUGGCUGCCGUGAUUCCCGAUGCAGGCUGCGCCCUGGUCGCCGCCUUCGACUCCUUUUUCUUUAAUGCGGGGCAAUCAAACCGACGAUGCCCCUUCUCUUUACAAUAGAAACAAGUGGUCUCACCUUUACAGUCCUUGUGGGAAUGCCCUCUUUUACCACAAUUUCUGCAGGCUGACUCCUUGCCUCCCUUGCUGGACUGACCCUGCUGCGCUGGUUUCCGGUCCCACUCGGAGGCGCCCUGAGUGAUACGCCGCAUCCUCUCCAGGAAGCCGUCCACCGUGUCCUCCGAUAGUGACAGCGCGGUCGCCUUCAAAGUGGUGAUGGUGAUUCCGCUCACCAGCAGAUGUACCUUGUCCGCUUCGGGAAGGUCCACUCGAUGCAGCAUUGCCAGUUUUUCUAUGGCAUAAUCGUCGAAGGUUUCCUUUGCAGGAAGCCAUUUUCGUGCCUCUAUUUUCUGCAUUACACGAAAGAACGGAAUUUUCCGGUCGAAAAUCUUAACUAACUCUGUUCGCAGGCCGCUCCAGGAUUCCACCGCGGCGUCUCCCUGCACGUCGUACCACCGGCGAGCCGAUUUGGUGAGGCGGCUGGAGGCUGCUAAGAGAAUCGCCCCGUCUGAGACGCUGUGGACCUGGGCGACUUUGUCCACCCGUCGGACCCACGCGUGCACGUUAUCAUCCUCUUGGCCCGCGAAUUCCGGGAUUUGUGAAGCCAGUGCCUGGAUUGAACCUGUCGGUGUCCAGGACUCCGCCGUCCGACGGUCCACGUCGUCCGUCGGUGACACUCUCGGGGCCCUAGAAGGACCCGGCGGAGAGACAGACUCCGCAUCUAGUGGCAGAACCGGGACAGCGGCGGGCUCUCGUCGCUGCUCCAUCACUAAGUUAAGUAGCAUGUUCAAUUGUUGCUGCUGCUGCUGCUGCUGCUGUUGCUGCUGCUGGAUAGACACCAGCAUCUGUCUCAUCAUUUCUGUCAUUUCCAGAGACUCUGUGGCCGUCGCCGAAGUUUCUGACGACCCUGCGGCCCUAGCCGGUGCCGCCUUUUUAUUCUGGGGCCUGCUUGGAGGUGCUGCUAGCUGAGCCAACUCCUUGACCGGCCCGUGCCGCUCUAGAUGACUCAUAAUUGAGUCCACCAAGUGGCUACGGCCUCCCGUUGUCGGGAGAGCGUAUUUAUCUGCUUCCUCGCGAAGCUCCUCCAUCGUGAGGUUUUCCAGAGCGGCUCUGUCCAUUGUAAUUCGCGCGCGUGUCCGCAUACACGAUUCUAAUCGAGCGAAUAAAUCGACACUCUGUUUUAAGACAAAAA